UACGAGGGAUGCAAGCGUUAUCCGGAAUUAUUGGGCGUAAAGCGUUUGUAGGCGGGCGAGUGUGUUUAAUGUUAAAUCUUAAAGCUCAACUUUGAAAUUGCGUUAAAAACUGCUUGUCUUGAGUAUGGUAGGGGUAAAGGGAAUUCCCAGUGUAGCGGUGAAAUGCGUAGAUAUUGGGAAGAACACUAAACAGCGAAGGCACUUUACUAGGCUAAUACUGACGCUGAGAAACGAAAGGUAAGGUAGCGAAACGGAUUAGAUACCCGUGUAGUCUUACCCGUAAACUAUGGACACUAAACGGUAAAUUUUUAAUUUACUGUUAAAGCUAACGCGUUAAGUGUCCCGCCUGGGGAGUAUGCUUGCAAAAGUGAAACUCAAAGGAAUUGACGGGGGCCCGCACAAGCGGUGGAGCAUGUGGUUUAAUUCGACGGUACACGAAGAACCUUACCAGGAUUUGACAUGCUAGAUAGUUGCUUGAAAGAGUAACGUGCCGUAAGGAAUCUAGACACAGGUGGUGCAUGGCUGUCGUCAGUUCGUGUUGUGAAAUGUUGGGUUAAGUCCCGCAACGAGCGCAACCCUCAUUUUUAGUUGCCUUAUGGAACUCUAAAAAGACUGCCGGUUAUAAACCGGAGGAAGGCGGGGAUGACGUCAAGUCAGCAUGCCCCUUACACCCUGGGCUACACACGUGCUACAAUGGGUGAGACAAUGAGAUGCAAGUCUGCGAAGAUUAGCUAAUCUAGAAACUCAUUCUAAGUUCGGAUUGUAGGCUGCAACUCGCCUGCAUGAAGUUGGAAUCGCUAGUAAUCGCUGGUCAGCUAUACAGCGGUGAAUUCGUUCCCGGGCCU
RNAcentral lists this ribosomal RNA (845 nucleotides) under uncultured bacterium. RNAcentral's name for it is "bacterial SSU rRNA". It matches the Rfam family "Bacterial small subunit ribosomal RNA", at positions 524 to 1381 of the family's 1533-position model. The record is from RNAcentral.